Molecule: unclassified non-coding RNA, 210 nt
Filed under: Hevea brasiliensis (rubber tree)
Lineage: Eukaryota; Viridiplantae; Streptophyta; Magnoliopsida; Malpighiales; Euphorbiaceae
Source: RNAcentral
GCAGGCUUGAAGGACAUGGUUUUCAUCUAUACCUCAUCAGCACCGCGAAUGCCACUUUUCAGGAUAUCAUACUUGCAGAGAGGGCAGGUGGCAUUUAUGUACAGCCAUUUGUCUAUGCAGGCACAAUGGAAGUGAUGACUGCACGGAAGUUCACGCAGCUCCACCCCAUCAUCAUAUGCUGAAAGGCAGAUGCAGCAUUCAGCAUCCUCU